CUCGCGCUGCUGGCCGCCAUCCCGUCGCUGUCGCGUGCCUCUGUCCGCUCGCUUUAAAUAACAACAAUAAUUACAAGGGCCGGAGAUUGUUCGGAGCUGGAAUGGCCUGAGCAUGGGUACCAUACUGUUGGGGGUGUCCGGGAGCUGCGAGGACAGAGAGGUCACAUCGCUACCGGAGGAGUUGCCUAGGGAGCCUGACUCCGAGAAGGAUACCUGAGGGGGUCGGGGGCAGAGACACCAAGGAAAAACAAGUGAACUCAGGCUCGAGCUGCUGCUUCCGGAUCACCUACUCAGAGACCCGGGAGUGUUCCCUGCCGCCAAGCCAUCAGCUGAGUAAACCCUGAAGAGAGGGAUGCCAGGUCCCCACCCGUGCAGGGGAUUGGGACCCGGUGAGAGACAGACACAUUAAAACCGUGUCGGCAGCGAGGUUGCAGACCCAGCAGGCUUUCUCAUUACCAAAUCUGUCCCCAAGACCCUGAUCCUAUGCGAAUGAAGUCCCCUCCACCCAAAUCCCACUGUGCAAUUUGCACAGGGCCUCACCAGCUGUUGAAAGGCGGGUUGGUCCAGGUCGCUCUGGAGUGCGAACUCGCUGAGUGCUUUCCAGGGCGGCUGGUACGUCUGCACCUCGACUGCGCUGCCCUGCACCGCGUUCUCAUGGCGGAUGGGGCUGCCUGCCACCAGAGGCGUCCCAGUCAGUCCCUGGAGGCUCUGAGGGGCAAGCAGACGGACAACACCAGGGCCUUAGAGUUAAGUCAGCUUUUGCACCACUUUGGAGUACAGAGCCCCAGAUUCUGGAGAGCAAGUUGGGAACUAAACGGUCUUGAAGAGGAGACGCACUCCACUGCACACAACGAAUCCUCAUUCCGCAGUGGAGAUACCCCAGGGCCCACAAACCUGCUACCCGGUUCACUCCUAGGAGUCAAAUUCCAGGCCAGGGAAAAGGAAAUCCCUAGCCAGGUAUGCGAAACAAAACAAAACAAAACAAACAAAAAUUCAGAUCCAGCCCGAUUCCCUCCCCUCCCUUCAAAAAAAGUACAACCCCGCAGUCCCAACCAUCCCACAGGGUCGACUCUGAGCUGAGGGCCCCUCAACUCUGGGCUGUCACUGGCACAAGGUACCACCGACAACCACCGCGACUUGAACGCCAAGGUCAGCCUUUCUCUUAAGGUGCGGGUGCCAAGGUACGUGGGGAGUCCAGCUCCGCCUAGUUCUCCCCAGAAAGAGGCCUUGGAAAGCCGCGGCGGCUUCCAGCCGCCUUCCCCCCGCCACCAGCACCUCACCGCCUUGUCGCUGUGUUGCUGCUGCUGUAGCUGCUUCAUGAGAAUCGACUUCUUCUUGUCCUUGCAACGCUUGUUCUGAAACCACACGCGGAUGACCCGCGGGCUCAAGCCGGUCAUCUCUACCAGCUGCUCCUUCAUGAGCGCGUCGGGCCGCGGGUUGGCGGCGUAGCACGUCCGCAGGGUGUGCAGUUGCUUUUCGUUGAGCACAGUCCGCACCCGGGUUGUCUUCUCCGCCUGCUUGUGCACGUGCGUGCGCAGCGAGGGCUGUCGUCCGGACCCGGCGUCUGCAGGGGCCGAGAGACGGGAGGUCGGAUGGGCUGCCAGCCAUUCUCCCCAAGAUUUCGUUUCCCUGAUAUUUCAUUCGUUUAGCGAUUGUUCAUCUCCCUCUGCAUCCGCUCGCCUUGCCCAGAGGGAGAAUGCUUUUUGUUCUGUCCCUAUCUCCCUAGCCGGAUUGCCUUGCUGCGAUCUCCCCGAGUCCUGUAGGAUCCUGGAGUUCCGCUCUAAGCCGCUGCGGUACUAAUACACCCUAGGAAAACCCAACUGCGAACAGCCGGACAAGCAAAACCCUCAGGAAGAAGGUGGAAUUUUAGAGGAAGAGGUGGAAAUCUAAAUGCGAUUCCCGGCGGGGAAAGGAAAGGGACAGGGACCCAGGUCACAGCACAACUCCUAGACUGGGAGACUCUCUUUCUGCUCCUAAGGGGUCUCCUGGGCUGGGCUCGCCCUUAGGAACACUCUCGGAAUAGGAAGAUGCUGACUAGGGGCAGCAGAGGCCUUCUGGGCACAGUAUGGCUCCUUCCUGGCUGCCUGCCUUGGGGCUUCAGUCUGAGAUUCUCUCCAUCGCUCUGGGUUCCCUCAGCUUAGUGACUGCAGCUUUUCACACACACCAUGAACAGCCUCAAGCCUACAUUUCAAAACAAAGGGGAGUCCCUCAACACCAACUCCAUUCUGUUUUACUUCCAACCAGGUCUACACACCCUAGAUGUUAGCUGCAUUGUUUACAUUAAUGUCCCCUCUAGGCAUUUCUAGGUCUGGGUAAACAUUUACAAAUAGCCCACCCAGACCAAUUUCCUCCUACAGUGUGGAAAAGGAGUUACAGAGAGGAAGGAGUCCCUAGUGCCACACUGCACAAGGAGGCCUGGUCUAGUACGGUCUGAGUUGCAGAUCCCAUGGCUUCCUGAAACUGGGGUCUUGGUCGCAUCCUCUCCACCUGCUUCUUGUCAACAUUCAUUUCCCAGUCUGAGUAACUCCUGGCCAGGGCACCUAUCAUCCUAGGAGGGUUUUAUUCAAUAAACUCCCUGAAGCUUUAUGCUAGCUGGACAUCAAAACAAGAACACAGGCCCCUCUUCUGCACCGCUGGCCUUCUUCCGUAGGCUCUGGUGGGAUAGCUUUUCUUCCUGAAGGUAACCUGUACAUCAAAUGAGUUCUAAACACAACCCAGACAGGCAGCACCUAUGAUUCCCGGUCCUCCACUCUCCGGAUCCUAGCUUGUGUCCUGCAUGGUCCGGGACACGGAGAACACAACUCCCGAGGCUCGCACACGCUCACAUACAUACAAUUUUACCCCCCAGCACUCGCAGACACAUAGCAGGGUUCCCAGCGCACGCGACCUUUCCCACCGGCUUCCCGUCAGAAGCUCGGCGGCGGUCGGCUACCCACUCGUACAUCCCACGGCCGCGGCACAGCCCUGCGGGCCCGAAGAGCGGCUUACCUGGCAGAUGCAGGCCGCCGCGGGCGCCGGGGAGCGGGCCGGGACUGCGCGGGCUGCCGGCCGCAGCGCGCUCCAGCAGGAGGCCGUGGUCGGCUCGGCAGAGCAGCUCGUGCUCCCGUAGCGAGAACUCGUCUCCAGGGAGCAGCUGGCGGCUGCACACGGAGCAGCGGAAGCACUCGAUGUGGUACACGCUGUCCCGCGCCCGCAUCACCAGGUCGCUGCUGCUGAAGCCCACCUGGCACUGGGCACACUUGAUGCCGAACAGCCUGCGGGCCCGGGCGCGGCGGGCGUCAGCGCAGGGACCAGAGUCCGGGACGCGCGGCCGUGUCCCCCCCUCCCAGCCCAAGGGGGCCGAACCCCGGGUCCCGCCGGCUCACCUCACGUAGUCCCGCUUGCAGUAGGUUUUCCCGUCUCUCACGAAGCACGUGCACGUCUCGUCCAGGUACUGGCUGCACUCUGCGCACUUGAGGCAGGCGGCGUGCCACUCGAGGUCGGGCGACACCCGAAGGAUAAACUGGUCGUGGAUCUGACUCCCGCAGCCCACGCACAUGGCCGUCCCGGGCUUCUCUAGCAGGGAAGGGCGCAGGGCGGGCAUCAGGCCCGGCUGCUGGACCCCGACCGGCCUUGGCCGCUGCAGCCCCAACCCAACCAGCCCUCCCUGCCUCCCUCGUUCUGCCGCUCUUAGAAGUGCGACCACAAGGGAACCGUAAGCUUUCGAAUGAUCCAGAAAAUAGGAAACGAAAACAACACGAUCUCCUGACAUUUCCGUAUCACCGUCUUUGAACACGGGUGGAGUAUCCGUUCAGCUAGAGACAGAACUAACGGGAGGCAGGCGACAGCAUGGUGACACCGGGGAGCCCGGGACGUCUCCCGUGUCCACACUGUCGGCCAAGCCCGGAUUUCCGCCCGCUCCCGCUCACAGCAACUCCCUCCUAUUUCAACACCGACACCGCAGCAUUCAGCCCUGUCCCCUCUCUGCUUCUUCGACAGUUCCUUAAACACCUCAGAUCAAGCGACUGAAACCCUCUAUCUUCGAAAGACAGAAAAGAAACCCAUCUCCCUAAGUCAAACCUAAUCGUCCUAGCAGAAAAGAGAAAGAAUUUCACAGCCUGAGGUCAUCCCAGCCAACUUGGGAAAUAACGUCUAAUUACAAAAUAAAAUAGUAGGAUUCCAACGAAUAAACGCUGUUACAGG
This is a long non-coding RNA of Mastomys coucha (southern multimammate mouse), 4182 nucleotides long. RefSeq lists it as uncharacterized. The transcript has 2 exons. The record is from RefSeq and is a predicted model, not a curated record. Lineage: Eukaryota; Metazoa; Chordata; Mammalia; Rodentia; Muridae.